RNAcentral lists this long non-coding RNA (588 nucleotides) under Homo sapiens (human). RNAcentral's name for it is "non-protein coding lnc-LINC00854-1:26". The record is from RNAcentral. Lineage: Eukaryota; Metazoa; Chordata; Mammalia; Primates; Hominidae.
GCUCUGCCUGUCCCCACCCCCACCUGGGGCCUCAUACCAUCCCACUAUCAUGGGUAGUGCCUACCACUGGGAGGCCCGGCGCCGGCAGAUGGCUUUGGACCGAAGGAGAUGGCUGAUGGCCCAGCAGCAGCAGGAGCUGCAGCAGAAAGAACAGGAACUGAAGAAUCACCAGGAGGAAGAACAACAAUCGGAGGAAAAACUCCAGCCACAUAAGAAGUUAAAUGUGCCGCAACCACCAGUGGCGAAAUUGUGGACAUCACAGGAGCAACCACAGCCAUCACAGCAGCAGCCAUCAGUGCAGCCACCAUCACAGCCACCACCACAGCCAUCAACAUUGCCACAGGCACAGGUGUGGCCAGGGCCACAGCCACCACAACCACAGCCACCACCUCAGCCAACACAACCAAGUGCUCAAGCCCGUUGUACUCAGCACACCUCCAAAUGCAAUCUCCAGGAUUCCCAAAGGCCAGGUCACCAGCCUACUUCAGCGGGGAUCUACUAAGCUGGAGGGCAAUCUCUGUAUCAACAACAGAUUCCAGGUACCCUCGGCCUUUAAUGCCUUGCUGGUCAACUCCCCCUGGGUGGGUU